GCUGGCUGCUAGCUCUUUGUAACUCUCACAUGGUCGCACACUGAAGCUAAGCAGGGUUGCACUGGGUCAAUACCUGGAUGGGAGACCACAUGGGAAAGCUAGGUUGCUGCUGGAA
Molecule: ribosomal RNA, 115 nt
Organism: Danio rerio (zebrafish)
Lineage: Eukaryota; Metazoa; Chordata; Actinopteri; Cypriniformes; Danionidae
Source: Ensembl